AUUGAACGCUGGCGGCAUGCUUUACACAUGCAAGUCGAACGGUAACAGGUUAAGCUGACGAGUGGCGAACGGGUGAGUAAUGCAUCGGAACGUGCCCGGUCGUGGGGGAUAACGCAGCGAAAGCUGCGCUAAUACCGCAUACGAUCUGAGGAUGAAAGCGGGGGACCGUAAGGCCUCGCGCGAUCGGAGCGGCCGAUGUCAGAUUAGGUAGUUGGUGGGGUAAAGGCUCACCAAGCCAACGAUCUGUAGCUGGUCGGAGAGGACGACCAGCCACACGGGGACUGAGACACGGCCCAGACUCCUAGGGGAGGCAGCAGUGGGGAAUUUUGGACAAUGGGCGAAAGCCUGAUCAAGCAAUGCCGCGUGCAGGAAGAAGGCCUUCGGGUUGUAAACUGCUUUUGUACGGAGCGAAAAGGUCUCCUCUAAUACAGGGGGCUCAUGACGGUACCGUAAGAAUAAGCACCGGCUAACUACGUGCCAGCCGCCGCAGUAA
This 493-nucleotide ribosomal RNA is filed under the name uncultured bacterium. Its description in RNAcentral is "partial 16S ribosomal RNA". It matches the Rfam family "Bacterial small subunit ribosomal RNA", at positions 29 to 523 of the family's 1533-position model. The record is from RNAcentral.